GAUCAUGACUCAGGACGAACGCUGGCGGCGUGCUUAACACAUGCAAGUCGAACGAGAAUCUGCUGAAGGAGGAUUCGUCCAACGGAAGUAGAGGAAAGUGGCGGACGGGUGAGUAACGCGUGAGGAACCUGCCUUGAAGAGGGGGGACAACAGUUGGAAACGACUGCUAAUACCGCAUGAAGCAUAGGGGUCGCAUGAUCUUUAUGCCAAAGAUUUAUCGCUUCAAGAUGGCCUCGCG
Molecule: ribosomal RNA, 238 nt
Filed under: uncultured bacterium
Lineage: Bacteria
Description: partial 16S ribosomal RNA
Rfam family: Bacterial small subunit ribosomal RNA
Source: RNAcentral